GAUGAACGCUGGCGGCGUGCCUAAUACAUGCAAGUCGAGCGAACGGACGAGAAGCUUGCUUCUCUGAUGUUAGCGGCGGACGGGUGAGUAACACGUGGAUACCCUACCUAUAAGACUGGGAUAACUUCGGGAAACCGGAGCUAAUACCGGAUAAUAUUUUGAAACGCAUGGUUCAAAAGUGAAAGACGGUCCUGCUGUCACUUAUAGAUGGAUCCGCGCUGCAUUAGCUAGUUGGUAAGGUAACGGCUUACCAAGGCAACGAUGCAUAGCCGACCUGAGAGGGUGAUCGGCCACACUGGAACUGAGACACGGUCCAGACUCCUACGGGAGGCAGCAGUAGGGAAUCUUCCGCAAUGGGCGAAAGCCUGACGGAGCAACGCCGCGUGAGUGAUGAAGGUCUUCGGAUCGUAAAGCUCUGUUAUUAGGGAAGAACAUAUGUGUAAGUAACUGUGCACAUCUUGACGGUACCUAAUCAGAAAGCCACGGCUAACUACGUG
RNAcentral lists this ribosomal RNA (497 nucleotides) under uncultured bacterium. RNAcentral describes it as "partial 16S ribosomal RNA". It matches the Rfam family "Bacterial small subunit ribosomal RNA", at positions 28 to 507 of the family's 1533-position model. The record is from RNAcentral.